GACCCGCAGGAAAGUGCCACAGAAAACAGACCGCCGAUGGCCCGGUUCCCUCUCUACGGGAGGUGCACCGGGCACAGGUAAGGGUGAAACGGUGCGGUAAGAGCGCACCAGCGACCGGGGUGAUCCGGUCGGCUAGGUAAACCCCAUCCGGAGCAAGGCCGAACAGGGAGAGGGCGGUCCGCCCGUGGACACUCCCAGGUGGGCCGCACAGAUGGAUGGCCACACAACCAGAGUCCCGUAAAGGGGCCGGUGGACAGAACCCCGCCUACAGGCUGGCUCACCGU
RNAcentral lists this RNase P RNA (284 nucleotides) under Acidimicrobiaceae bacterium. Its description in RNAcentral is "partial RNase P RNA component class A". It matches the Rfam family "Bacterial RNase P class A", at positions 96 to 367 of the family's 367-position model. From Rfam's summary of the family: Ribonuclease P (RNase P) is a ubiquitous endoribonuclease, found in archaea, bacteria and eukarya as well as chloroplasts and mitochondria. Its best characterised activity is the generation of mature 5'-ends of tRNAs by cleaving the 5'-leader elements of precursor-tRNAs. Cellular RNase Ps are ribonucleoproteins. Lineage: Bacteria; Bacillati; Actinomycetota; Acidimicrobiia; Acidimicrobiales; Acidimicrobiaceae. The record is from RNAcentral.